CUGAAUUGUCUCAUUUAAAGUUUGCCUGCUAAAAAUAAGGUGAAGGUGGACAGCUUUUGAUUAGCAUGACGUCCCUUUCUGGAGAGUGUUUACAAGACCAACAAAUCACGAUUCAAUUAAACUGUGCCCUGUAUAGUACUUUCCAAGUAUUUUUUGCAGUUUCUUUAUCCAGCAUUCACGCCUACCCUAUUUUUUUCUUGAUUCAUUUGGCAAGACUUUGCAUGUAAAGUCCCACAAGAAAGACAAACGAGGAACAUUUUAAAAACUUGAUUGCAGAUCUUGCUGCUUAAGACACAGGCAUUAUCCCAUGCCUGCCAUCAUGUCAGCUGGCUCUUUAACAACGAAAUAAAGAAGUAACAAUUAGGCUGUAUUUACAUUUCUCUAGUGGCAUUGUUUGCUCCCCUAUAAUUAAAGGAUCUGCCAGCUUUUCAAUUACCAACUCCUAUUUUUAGGGCAGUGAGUAUUUAACACGCAAACUCACACAAGGGCUUUUUAAGAAGUGAGGCCCCAUCCACUUUGAGUGUGGCUGUGUGGAUUACAAACUGAUUAACACCAACAGGCAGCUGCCCAACCGGCUGAGUGCCUUGGAAGCCAUCAUGGUUCUGGAUCCUGCUCCAGCCUGGUGCACUGCUGCCAUCCUCUUGCUGCACCUACAGCCUGUUCACAGCUUGAAGCCACUCUUUGGUAAGGUUGGAUGAAGUAGAAGAUGAUGCAGGAGCAGACACUGAGGUCUUGUCACCAUCUGUGGUGGGAUUCUGGCCCCUGGGAAAAGGCAAAAAACAGCAGGACUGGGGACAAGCACCUCCCACAGUAUGUGCUGUGUAUACUGGGAGCACUCAAGCUUUGAUUAAACUAAAUUCAAUCCCCAAGACUUUCUAAUGAACUGUAAAAACUCACUCUAAUUUACAUUCAAAAAUCACUAUGCUCUCCAUACUGUAAUUACAUUAGUAAUGAUCUAUCUGAAGCCUUCUUAAGUUUUAUAGGACUUUUACUUGUAAUUAUAAAAAUAUGAAAAAGAGAUAAGAGAGAGAAAAUAAGGAAAUAGUAAAGGAUGGAAUUGAAAAAAGAAAGCUAGGAGGGGAGAACAGAAAAGAUUCUGAAAGGACAGAGAGAGCAGAAGAAACUACAGUAGCAUAGCAAUGUAAUAAAAUUCUAAAGCUUGUCAAAAUCACUUUCUUGCAUAGGUAAAUUAAAAUAUCAGAAAAAAA
Molecule: non-coding RNA, 1208 nt
Organism: Anas platyrhynchos (mallard)
Lineage: Eukaryota; Metazoa; Chordata; Aves; Anseriformes; Anatidae
Source: RefSeq, a predicted model, not a curated record